Molecule: ribosomal RNA, 217 nt
Filed under: uncultured soil bacterium
Lineage: Bacteria
Description: partial 16S ribosomal RNA
Rfam family: Bacterial small subunit ribosomal RNA
Source: RNAcentral
AGAUUGAACGCUGGCGGCAUGCCUUACACAUGCAAGUCGAACGGCAGCACGGGAGCAAUCCUGGUGGCGAGUGGCGAACGGGUGAGUAAUAUAUCGGAACGUGCCCAGUCGUGGGGGAUAACGUAGAGAAAUUUACGCUAAUACCGCAUACGAUCCAAGGAUGAAAGCGGGGGACCGUAAGGCCUCGCGCGACUGGAGCGGCUGAUAUCAGAUUAGC